RNAcentral lists this small nuclear RNA (99 nucleotides) under Brassica napus (rape). Lineage: Eukaryota; Viridiplantae; Streptophyta; Magnoliopsida; Brassicales; Brassicaceae. The record is from RNAcentral.
CUAGGUUUAGCUUAUCUGAUCUUGGGGAUGAAAGGUGAAGAUUAGCAUGGCCCAUGCGCAAGGAUGACACGCACAAAUCGAGAAAUUGUCCAAUUUUUU